GAUCAUGGCUCAGGAUGAACGCUAGCUACAGGCUUAACACAUGCAAGUCGAGGGGCAGCAUGGUCUUAGCUUGCUAAGGCCGAUGGCGACCGGCGCACGGGUGAGUAACGCGUAUCCAACCUGCCUUACACUCUUGGGACAGCCUUCUGAAAAGGGAGAUUAAUACAAGAUGUUAUCAUGAGUAAGCAUUUUCGCAUUGAUUAAAGGUUUACCGGUGUAAGAUGGGGAUGCGUU
Molecule: ribosomal RNA, 234 nt
Filed under: uncultured bacterium
Lineage: Bacteria
Description: partial 16S ribosomal RNA
Rfam family: Bacterial small subunit ribosomal RNA
Source: RNAcentral